This 414-nucleotide unclassified non-coding RNA is filed under the name fungal sp. Its description in RNAcentral is "partial internal transcribed spacer region". The stretch from base 1 to 46 matches the Rfam family "Eukaryotic small subunit ribosomal RNA", at positions 1786 to 1831 of the family's 1831-position model. Lineage: Eukaryota; Fungi. The record is from RNAcentral.
AAGUCGUAACAAGGUUUCCGUAGGUGAACCUGCGGAAGGAUCAUUAACACGUAUCCAAACGUUAAACCCCCCUGUGAACCUUCAGUCGUACUCGUACGUCCGUUAGAAAAAGUAGCAAUCCCUGGUAAAUCAUCGCCGAACAGUUUUCGAUUCAGGGACGUCUGCAAGGCACAUGUUAGUGACACUUUCAGACACUAACGUUAGUGACACUUUCAGACACUAACUGCUUGGGGAUGCCAGGCCAAAAUAAGGAUGACGCAGUCACGAUCGUUGGAGGCCCACACGGCCGACGACCGGGUCACCGGGUGCAAGCCCCCUUAUCACACCCCUGCUCUAUCUAUGGUGAUCCUGCGGGAAGUCCUGCGGUCGAACGCCGAAACCGAACAACUGUUAACAAUGGAUAUCUUGGUUCUC